GUGGGGAAUAUUGGACAAUGGGCGAAAGCCUGAUCCAGCAACGCCGCGUGAGGGAUGACGGCCUUCGGGUUGUAAACCUCUUUCAGCAGGGCCGAAGCGAAAGUGACGGUACCUGCAGAAGAAGCACCGGCCAACUACGUGCCAGCAGCCGCGGUAAUACGGAGGGGGCUAGCGUUGUUCGGAAUUACUGGGCGUAAAGCGCACGUAGGCGGCUUUGUAAGUUAGAGGUGAAAGCCCGGGGCUCAACUCCGGAAUUGCCUUUAAGACUGCAUCGCUAGAAUUGUGGAGAGGUAAGUGGAAUUCCGAGUGUAGAGGUGAAAUUCGUAGAUAUUAGGAAGAACACCAGUGGCGAAGGCGGCUCACUGGUCCGGUACUGACGCUGAGGUGCGAAAGCGUGGGGAGCAAAC
Molecule: ribosomal RNA, 407 nt
Filed under: uncultured bacterium
Lineage: Bacteria
Description: bacterial SSU rRNA
Rfam family: Bacterial small subunit ribosomal RNA
Source: RNAcentral